This 433-nucleotide ribosomal RNA is filed under the name uncultured bacterium. RNAcentral describes it as "partial 16S ribosomal RNA". It matches the Rfam family "Bacterial small subunit ribosomal RNA", at positions 29 to 507 of the family's 1533-position model. The record is from RNAcentral.
AACGAACGCUGGCGGCAUGCCUAACACAUGCAAGUCGAACGAGACCUUUGGGUCUAGUGGCGCACGGGUGCGUAACGCGUGGGAACCUGCCCUUAGGUUCGGAAUAACUCCCCGAAAGGGGUGCUAAUACCGGAUAAUGUCUUCGGGCCAAAGAUUUAUCGCCUUUGGAUGGGCCCGCGUUGGAUUAGCUAGUUGGUAGGGUAAAAGCCUACCAAGGCGACGAUCCAUAGCUGGUCUGAGAGGAUGAUCAGCCACACUGGGACUGAGACACGGCCCAGACUCCUACGGGAGGCAGCAGUGGGGAAUAUUGGACAAUGGGCGAAAGCCUGAUCCAGCAAUGCCGCGUGAGUGAUGAAGGCCUUAGGGUUGUAAAGCUCUUUUACCCGGGAUGAUAAUGACAGUACCGGGAGAAUAAGCUCCGGCUAACUCCGUG